This is a regulatory RNA element of Cavia porcellus (domestic guinea pig), 46 nucleotides long. It matches the Rfam family "Histone 3' UTR stem-loop". Rfam says of the family: The mRNAs of metazoan histone genes lack a poly-A tail. 3' end processing occurs at a site between a highly conserved stem-loop (modelled by this family) and a purine rich region around 20 nts downstream (the histone downstream element, or HDE). The stem-loop is bound by a 31 kDa stem-loop binding protein (SLBP - also termed the histone hairpin binding protein, or HBP). The record is from Rfam. Lineage: Eukaryota; Metazoa; Chordata; Mammalia; Rodentia; Caviidae.
CCAAAGGCUCUUUUCAGAGCCACCCACUUCUCCAUAAUGGGAGCUG